AGCCUGAACGCUGGCGGCGUGGCUAAGACAUGCAAGUCGUACGGAUGUAGCAAUACAUCAGUGGCGAACGGGUGAGUAAUGAAUCGCUAACGUGCCCCGGACUCUGGGAUAGCCGGUCGAAAGGCCGGGUAAUACCAGAUGAUAUACCUCUAUCGCAUGAUAGAGGUCUCAAAGGUCCGCCGGUCUGGGAGCGGGCGAUUUCGUAUCAGCUAGUUGGUGAGGUAACGGCUCACCAAGGCGACGACGCGUAGCCGGACUGAGAGGUUGGCCGGCCACAUUGGGACUGAGACACUGCCCAGACUCCUACGGGGGGCUGCAGUAACGAAUCUUCCGCAAUGCACGAAAGUGUGACGGAGCGACGCCGCGUGUGGGACGAAGCCCUUCGGGGUGUAAACCACUGUCAGAGGAAGAAAGUUCUGAUCUACUCAGAGGAGAGGCGGCUAACGUCUGUGCCAGCAGCCGCGGU
Molecule: ribosomal RNA, 466 nt
Filed under: uncultured bacterium
Lineage: Bacteria
Description: SSU rRNA
Rfam family: Bacterial small subunit ribosomal RNA
Source: RNAcentral